Non-coding RNA from Dipodomys ordii (Ord's kangaroo rat), 70 nucleotides. The record is from Rfam. NCBI's taxonomy places the organism in Eukaryota, Metazoa, Chordata, Mammalia, Rodentia, Heteromyidae.
GGGAAUGUGGCCUAGUGGUAGAGUGCUUGCCUUGCAUGCAUGAAGCCCUGGGUUCAAUUCCUCAGUACCA